CAGGGAAUAUUGCACAAUGGGCGAAAGCCUGAUGCAGCAACGCCGCGUGAGGGAUGAAGGCCUUCGGGUCGUAAACCUCUUUUCCAGAGGAAGAGAAGGGACGGUACUCUGGGAAUAAGACACGGCUAACUACGUGCCAGCAGCCGCGGUAAUACGUAGGUGUCGAGCGUUAUUCGGAUUUACUGGGCGUAAAGCGCACCGAGGUGGCUUCUUAAGUUGGAUGUGAAAUCUCCUGGCUUAACUGGGAGACGCCAUUCAAAACUGGGAAGCUUGAGGUCAGCAGGGGAAAGUGGAAUUCCCGGUGUAGUGGUGGAAUGCGUAGAGAUCGGGAGGAACACCAGUGGCGAAAGCGACUUUCUGGGCUGCACCUGACACUCUAGUGCGAAAGCGUGGGGAGCAAACAGGAUAGAUACCCUGGUAGUCCACGCCCUAAACUAUGGAUACUAGGUGUAGGGGGUAUUGACCCCCUCUGUGCCGAAGCCAACGCGUUAAGUAU
This 496-nucleotide ribosomal RNA is filed under the name uncultured bacterium. RNAcentral's name for it is "bacterial SSU rRNA". It matches the Rfam family "Bacterial small subunit ribosomal RNA", at positions 355 to 867 of the family's 1533-position model. The record is from RNAcentral.